GUCCUGGUUCAUAUCAAUAGUCUGCACUGCAUCGCCACGAGUAAAGAUGAGAGCAUGAUUUUGAUUCUCUGGUUUUCCUUCCCCAAGUUUCAAGGGGCCUGGCAACUUGAUCCUGUAAAUUUCAACUUCCUUGUCCAACUGCUGAUCAUAUUUCACAAGCACAGAGUAAUACUCCUUCUCAUCUCUCCCUGUGUUCACCUCAUCUACAUAGGCAACUCGAAGGGCCUCAUUAGUUUUCAUCAAAUACAAUAUUUCUUCAGCAUGGGGAUCCUUCUUUGCUUUUUGAGUCCCGUAUAUCUGGCAGGCAACCACAUAUGAGUAUUUCAUCAAAGCAGUACCAUAUUCAUGGCCUUUAAACAACAAAUUGACAGAACUACUAUUCCUGCUUAAACUAUUGAAAGAAGGAGAUCCUUCAGAUUUAAAGCUAUCUGAACCACCAUCUCGCCUCAUUGAACCAAGUUCUCGCGAACCUUCCCUGAUGUCCACCUCUGAGGCAGAAUCAAGAAAAGCCAGCAUCUUAAGAGCACGAUAAUAAUACAUCAUUCCCCUCACUGUACGAGCCAACGUCUGGCCUCUAUAAGAUGCCCAAAGCCUAAGAUCCCUCAUCCUGGUUGUCCAUAGCUCAUCUUCCUUCACCAUUCCUUCUCUGCGCAUCCUUUCAAUAAAGUUCUUCCAUUCAUCAUUGUAAAUUGUUUGCAGAUAGUACCAUAUGGAAAUCCCAUCUUCAUUCUCAGUUCGAAGCUGUUCCCUGCUGUACAGCACUUCUUCAUUGUAAUAAGGGGUCAGGACACUAAAAGCCAUCAUUUUCUCAACUUGGGGAGCAUGGGGCAUGUUCAUAAAUAGGGAAUUACUAAAAAAGGCAAUUCUACGUCUGGCCUCAAGAUUUUUUGGUAUAUUUUGCAUUGAAUCCCUAGAGGUAAGAAUAGUGUGCAACCGUCGUACCUGCCGAUAGAAGGUUUCAUUACUGGCAUCAGGCAAUUCAACUGCAUUCUGAAAAAGCAGACCUGCCAUGGCAGCAGGAUCAUGAGGAGCCAAACCAUCCUCCCUCAACUGUUCUGUGCUCCUCUUGUCUUUGAAAAAAUCUCGCACAGCAAUCUCAUACAAAGCCUGAAGUGUAUUCACCACCUGGUUCAGAUCUUUCUUAGGCUUAUUCAAAAGCUCAACAAGUUUUAUCAACUUGGUAUGAAAAUGAGGAAGAGCAGUCAUGUUGAAAGUCUUAGUAAAUUUCUCUAUCUGCAAUGAGUGAUCAAUUUCCUGAAACAAGACUGUGAUAAUUGAAUGCUCCUCAGUGUUGAUCUUGAUGGUCUCAAGCAACAAGUGCUUGACGCUAUCAUAAGCUUCUAUAACAGCACAGCGCCUGUACUCGUUCUUGCAUAUCUUAUACCAGAGCCACUUAUCAGGAGCAUCUACCAACUCUUUGGCCUGGCUAAGAGCAAGUAGCAGCUCGUUACAAAGGAGAAAACAUGGCCAGCGAAUAACUCUCACAUUCCAAGAAUUUUGUGGCAGUUCCAAUAAUUCGAGCUCCCUAUCAGAGAUAAUAUCCUCUUCCCUGAAGGUUGUUAUAAUUUCAUUCCAGAUCAAAGCAAACUUGUUUGCCUCGACCUGGUUAGACUCCAACUUCUUGUAGGGCCGGCCAAGUCCGUACCUCAACUUCAACCGAUGAAUGGCAUCUUUGAACUUGCUCUUCAAAGUCCCCCUCGCAUUUAAUAGCUGCUCUUCUGGCAUGAGAUUAAACUGAAUUGCACUUGCAAAGAACUGAAAUCUCAACGUCAAUUGUUGGAUGUUUCUGAUUUCACCCAAAUGCGCCAAUAAGCCCACUAAGGCACCCACAAAAGAUGAAUAGAUGGAGUACCAAAUCUGCAAGUCCAUCAGGUAAAUCAAUACCACAGGAAGCCACAACAAUCCUACUGCAAACCUGUUGCUGCUUUUGAAAAACUCAUGCCAUUCAUAAGUCACAUCCCUAAGAUCCAACAACUGCCUGGAUGGCUUAAUCAUGGGUUUAAUCUGCAGAAAGUAACUGAAAGCAAAUUUGGUAGCUAAAACUACAACCCAAAACAAAGUAUACUUGAUAUUAUCAACAAGCCCCUCCCUCAAUCCACGACCAACGAAACUCCUACUCUGAAACCACCACGAGAGCAAAUAAAAGAUCCUCCAAUUCCUAUUCUCAAGAAAAUUCCUAAUCCAUGGGAUUAUAAAGAAAGCCAGUGCCAACAACUCAGGCAACACAAACACCAAUGCCACCUCAAGAAAAUUGACUAUCCUCCUGUUAGCCUCACUAGACCACCUGCCAUCACUGUUCUUCUGACUCCAAAUUCUCCCAUAAAACACCCCAAAUACAAUAAUCCACCCCGCGGCAACCGCACUUUUCAACAACAUUCUAACCCCAAGCCACAUGGUCUCCCUAGAAACCAAACUAUACUGCAUCCCUGCAUCAAGCAAAGACUGCAAUAACCGCAACCCACUCCAAGUAAAGAACAGAGUCAAAACCCGAACCUGAACUUCCCGGUCUUCCAAUGCCUGCCAUGGAUAUUCCUUCCUUUCCCACGCAACAAUAAUCGCGAACUGUAGAAACAGUAUUAGCAUCACCCAUAGCCUGUCGAAACUCCUUAGCAAGUUCCAAAACGACCUCUGUUCCACAAACCCCGUCUUCCCUACAUGCUUUCGCCCACUUGAAAUCACGAAGAAAUUACUCCCUACAUCGAUUGGCCACUUCAAUUUGGCGAAACACCUUUUCGUCCAAAAAUACUCGUUUAAAUCAUCAUAAUUUCUCCAAGCACUAUGUGGCGCCGUUCCAUUCUUGCUGCUCUCUACCUCCUUUUUGAUCGUCUCGUAAAUCGGCUUGACGACGCAAUUGAGAAACGCGUUCUCGCCGGAAAGCGAAGGCAUCACCGGCUGCCCCGUGUUCUCGUCUAUGUAAUCCUCGAGUAUCUUGUUCAAUUCCAUGGCCAUAUUGUGGAAAAUGUAACAGAUACAUUCCGGCAUGAAGCGGAGAUUCGCAGACUCCCCCCAGAUUAGGAGAUAGAGAGAUAUAUACAACAACUCGCGACGGAGAUCGGGAUGUGACCGGUCAGAGAUCCAGAUGUUGGAUUUCUUAUUGAGAUAAGAGCACCAGUUGGUGUAGUUUUUCAGCAAUUUCCGGCGGAAUCUCCGGAGCACGGUAGCGUCAAGAGUGUCGAUGUUGUCAGGAGGAGGAGUGAGGCGCAUCUGGGCGUUGGCAAGGUGAAGGACUAUAUGCUCCCGCUGGUUCCUAACGUUGUCCUUCUGAAACCCAAAGAAAAGAGCCAGCCAAUCCAGCAGGUCCAUAGAAGGGUGCCAUUGGGAAUACGGCGGCUUCCGUAGGUUCCCGACAGUGCGCAAAGCAGCAGCGGCUGCUCGCACCUCAGGAUACCGUAGUGAGGGGUGGUCGGCUAAGAGGUUGUGGAUGGGUAUGAUGUUGUAGUGCUCCUCUUCCGGUUCUUGUGCCCGGUUAGACCGGUUCGGUCCAGGUGGAGUGCGAUGGCGGAGAGCGGACAUGGCAUGAGGAGCGGCAAGUGGGAGUACAGACUUUUUUAGAGAGAAUGCGUAGAAGAAGAAGAAGAAGAAGA
RNAcentral lists this unclassified non-coding RNA (3584 nucleotides) under Hevea brasiliensis (rubber tree). The record is from RNAcentral. Lineage: Eukaryota; Viridiplantae; Streptophyta; Magnoliopsida; Malpighiales; Euphorbiaceae.